UGGGGAAUAUUGCACAAUGGGCGCAAGCCUGAUGCAGCCAUGCCGCGUGUAUGAAGAAGGCCUUCGGGUUGUAAAGUACUUUCAGCGAGGAGGAGGGCGGUAAGGUUAAUAACCUUAUCGAUUGACGUUACUCGCAGAAGAAGCACCGGCUAACUCCGUGCCAGCAGCCGCGGUAAUACGGAGGGUGCAAGCGUUAAUCGGAAUUACUGGGCGUAAAGCGCACGCAGGCGGUCUGUCAAGUCGGAUGUGAAAUCCCCGGGCUCAACCUGGGAACUGCAUUCGAAACUGGCAGGCUAGAGUCUUGUAGAGGGGGGUAGAAUUCCAGGUGUAGCGGUGAAAUGCGUAGAGAUCUGGAGGAAUACCGGUGGCGAAGGCGGCCCCCUGGACAAAGACUGACGCUCAGGUGCGAAAGCGUGGGGAGCAAACA
Molecule: ribosomal RNA, 427 nt
Filed under: uncultured bacterium
Lineage: Bacteria
Description: partial 16S ribosomal RNA
Rfam family: Bacterial small subunit ribosomal RNA
Source: RNAcentral